GAACAUGUCGAUAGUCCAUCAAUCAUGUUCGCCCAUACAAUCAGGAUCUCGGUUUCCAUAAGUAGAACCUUCCAAGUAUACUUUGCCAAUCAUCGGAUCCUUAAUUUUCGAAUCAAUUAUGAUCAAAUAAAGGAUUCCGUUAUGUCAUAUCCAGCCAAGAGAUCUUCUCCAGUCGAUAAGGCCACAUCCUUAAUGAAAC
Molecule: long non-coding RNA, 199 nt
Filed under: Eucalyptus grandis
Lineage: Eukaryota; Viridiplantae; Streptophyta; Magnoliopsida; Myrtales; Myrtaceae
Description: long non-coding RNA (EGRA_LNC003838)
Source: RNAcentral